UUCGACAUCUUCCAUUGUCACUUGAGGCAAUUACACGCAUCACGUUUAUUAUUUCAUAUAUUUCAACUUUACAUUAUUAUAUUACUAGCAAUUACCGUCGACUUUGUCCGCGUGAACAGAAUACGUUUUACCAAGAUAAAAGUAACCUAUAUCCUUCAUCAUCGCGUGCUAUUGUGUACUAAAUAUAGCACAUGUAUACAAAAUUUCAUAACGAUUGGCUAAUCCGCUAAGAGCCUUCAAAAGCUUUUUCAAGGAAAACUAAACAACAGUGUUGGUUUCAACUGAACAAAGCAUCCAGUGACGCAAUAAGGACCACUAGGUAUGUAGUUGUUUACGUAAAGCAACGUGAUCACCGCUGCGCCUCGUAGGUCAUCAAAAUAUGAAACAAGCUUAACACCCACGGCCCAGGUCUAUCUAAUGGAAAGUAACCGUCGGCUCAUGUUUAUGAGCAGUCCCAUGAGCAUCAUAUAAAAACAGCAGCUUCAAUUGUAAUAAAACAUACUGAUGCAUGACAUGAAAUUGUGUAGAGAUAUUAGAUUAAAUAUAUUUUA
Long non-coding RNA from Galleria mellonella (greater wax moth), 551 nucleotides. RefSeq lists it as uncharacterized. The transcript is spliced from 3 exons. The record is from RefSeq and is a predicted model, not a curated record. NCBI's taxonomy places the organism in Eukaryota, Metazoa, Arthropoda, Insecta, Lepidoptera, Pyralidae.